This 854-nucleotide long non-coding RNA is filed under the name Dromaius novaehollandiae (emu). RNAcentral's name for it is "lncRNA (ENSDNVG00000012891.1)". The record is from RNAcentral. Lineage: Eukaryota; Metazoa; Chordata; Aves; Casuariiformes; Dromaiidae.
UCAAUUUUCUAGUGAUGCUGCAAACUCUACCAUAGACAGGAUUUAAGUGGAAAACGUUGUUUUUAGCAUUGCGUUAAUCAGAAUUUUUCUUGAAGGGUUGGGCAUCAAAGAAAUAAGACUGGAGACAGAAGCCAAAGUCUUGUCCACACACAGAUGUCCAACGUUGCUGAUGCUGAACAGGUACUUGUCGUGAAUGUUUAACAUGAAGCGAUUGUAAGUAUAGGCAGGGCUCUUCAAAAGUUCCCAUUUGCCCCAAGUUUAGCAAAUGGAAAUUAAAUGUCAGUUGAAUGUGCGUGAAGCUAGAUUUCUUAUGUUAAAAGUUACAAUUUAUUUUUAAUGAUUGCUCGUCUCCUGAUUUCUGAAGGGCAAUCUUGUGUUCGUCUUCUGCCAGUUGGGAGAGAAGCAAAUAUGAAACACUAAACUUUCAAAAAAGAUCACCCGUAAAAGAUCUUUCAGGAUGGAUGUCCAUUCCACCCUUUUCCAUGGCCAUGUGGAUCUGCUUCUAUUAUAUUUUGUUACUUCUCUUCAUGAUCCAGGGAAGACAUGCCAGAAAAAAAGAGUUGUUGGAGUUAAUGGGUGGAUACGAGCUCUCUGUUCCUCAGAAACCAUGUCCUCACCACCCACUGAACCCUCCCAGGGACUUGGAUUUUAUUAUUUUGCUUUUCCAUCCAAGCAGACUUUGAGCUCUCACACUUACAUCACUGACACUAGGCACCUGUGACACUAGAAACAGCCAACCUCUGGAACAAGAAAGCAACCAGCACAUGUACUUGUCCAUAAUGAAGGGCCUAUUGCUGCUGAAUCUAAUAAUUCACGGUAUGGAACCAAAUGUUUGUAUCGGUGUGAAGUUUUCC